GUCUUUUUAAAGUUCAAUAGAGUUCAAAGAAUAAAGAAAGCAAAAAAGAAUAACCUUCGCUAUCAUUUAUAUCGGUUAUGACGUUUUGCUGUUAGCAGCAGUGCUAAUGCUAGCUUCAAUGCUAAUGCUAGCAACAAUGCUAACGCUAGCGAUAGUGCUAACACUAGCCUUAGCAGUUGUUAACUGACAAAAAGAAUAUUCCUGUGAUAUUUAUUGGUGAUCAGUGAGACAAAAGUAACGAAUGAGCUUUAUUAUUACCAUUGUGGCUCAGUUUUAACAGUAAGAGUACUAGCACUACCAGCAGUUCUAACACUAGCUGCAAUGCUGACGCUAGCUGCAAUGCUAACGCUAGCUGCAAUGCUAACGCUAGCUGCAGUGCUAACACUAACUGAAGUGUUUAUGCUAGCAGGAAUGCUAGCGCUAGCAGCAAUGCUAAUGCUAGUAACAGUCUAACAGUAGCCUUACAUAAGUGGAAAUACUUCAGUUAAUUAGUUUGAAUUACAAAAUGGUUGCUGUGUCAGCUGGUGUGCUAUAUUACUCUAUAAUUACCCUGCUGACUAUAAGUUCAGUAUAUCAUGUCGUGUGGGCUUUGUAUUUCUGUAAGUCUGAUAACACUGUACAGACAACUAACAUAUUAUUUCUCGUCUUACACUUUCAGGAACUUGACUGACAUCUGUGCUUUGCCUGUGUGCAGAAGAACAAGGACCAGAUCUCCAGUCUUCUCUGUCACAUCCCAACCCCACAUCCCCUCUAUCCUCUGUCCUGCUCCACCUGUUGUCUCUGCCUUCUUUCCAUCUGUAUUUCACCCUGUGGUUUGUGAGAAAUUUUGCCAAACCAAGAAUCUUAUUGCGGUUUGAUUUCAAAGCCGUGUCUCUCCUGCUCUGUCUGUUCUCUCUGCUAAAUUUUCUCUCUACCUGUUUUUCACUCUUUGGCUUGCUGCUGAGAAAUGCCACAAGCCAUAAAGCAAUAAAGAGUGCAUAUUUUGCCUCAACCUUUGAACAAACUGAACAAACAAAGAAAACUCUACGGUUUGAUUUCAAAACCGUGUCUUUCCUGCUCUCUCUGUUCUCUCUGCUAAAUUUUCUCUCUACCUGUUUUUCACUCUUUGGCUUGCUGCUGAGAAAUGCACAAGCCAAUAAAGCAAUAAAGAGUGCAUAUUUUGCCUCAACCUUUGAACAAACUGAACAAGAAAACUCUGCGGUUUGAUUUCCAAGCCGUGUCUCUCCUGCUCUGCCUGUUCUCUCUGCUAAAUUUUCUCUCUACCUGUUUUUCACUCUUGGCUUGCUGCUGAAAAAUGCCAAGCCAUUAAAGCAUAAAGAGUGCAUAUUGCCUCUACCUGAGAACAAACUGAACAAAUAAAGAAAACUCUAAUUCACGGUUUGAUUGUCAUUUCCCAGCCGCGUCUCUCCUGCUCUGUCUAUUCUCUCUUCUAAAUUUUCUCUCUACCUGUUUUUCAUUCUGGGCUUGCUGCUAAGUUGUGCCAAGCCAAUAAAGAGAGUACAUAAUAUUCUCUCGACUGACAAACUGUCAAACAAACAAAGACAUUGUUUCUGAGAAAUAAAAGCUGAAAUAUAAAGACAAAGAAAACAUCUCCUGCUGUGUGCCACUCUUGUUUUUUGAAUACAUUUUCUAAAGACUAACAGAA
This is a long non-coding RNA of Oreochromis niloticus (Nile tilapia), 1645 nucleotides long. Lineage: Eukaryota; Metazoa; Chordata; Actinopteri; Cichliformes; Cichlidae. The record is from Ensembl.